Molecule: long non-coding RNA, 909 nt
Organism: Manduca sexta (tobacco hornworm)
Lineage: Eukaryota; Metazoa; Arthropoda; Insecta; Lepidoptera; Sphingidae
Exons: 3
Source: RefSeq, a predicted model, not a curated record
UAUUUCUUUGUAUUAAGUCCUGUCUCUUAAAACGUAGUGAUUAUAUUCUCUUUGACCCUUUGCCCCGUCCAUAGAACAGUAAUCCUUAUCAGUGAUAAUAGAUUGUAUAACUCUAGAUAUACUUAGAUAUUAUGUGUUAUAUUUAUAGACCUAUAUGUGUGAAGUUGUGUGGUCGCUGAGAUAAAUAGAUCAGUGUUUAGAGUAUUAUGCAACCGCAUCUCUGAUAAGCUUAAUUAGUUUGGCAAGCUUUAAAGUUUACCAAACUUUCUGUACAGAAGAAACAGCUGAACAAAUGUUAGUGUUGCCACACAAAUAAAUGAAAUCAGGCACAGAAAAAUGUACUGGGGCAUUGUAGAAGACGAACUAAAUCAACUAAGAAUAAUAGUAAAUCAAGUUAUAAGAUAUCGUCAAUUAUUACAAUUCUUCAUUAUAAUUCUUCAUUACAACUAUCCAGCAUUUCGCCCCGCCCGCUGAUUGUCGAAACCAAUUUUUGUUAUGGUUGGAUAUACUUAUUUUAUAUCUGCCCGGAUAGCGACCACCGUACACAAAGUGUUACAACCCGCCAUAGUGGCUCAUACUCUCACCUCAUGAACAAAAACCAUUCGCAGGAGCCAUAUCACAUGGAGCUCCCAAUAUGAUACCAGGAUGACAUCAACCAUCACUUACUGGUUGCCGCCUGUGAUAAUGGCCUUAAUGUUGUAUAAAUACGUGGAAGAAAGCUAUUACGCAUCAAAGAGGAAAAAUUUGAAAGAUUACGAAAAUGAAGUUGAACCAGACCCUUGUAAAACUGUAAAUACAAAAAAAUAAGUUAUUAACCAGAAACGUUAGAAGUUUAAAGUUAUAAAGUAUCGGUAUUUAAUGGACUUACAUUUUAACUAUUUGUAAUAAAAGCAGUUAAGUACGUUAAAU